RNAcentral lists this long non-coding RNA (453 nucleotides) under Homo sapiens (human). Its description in RNAcentral is "non-protein coding lnc-PTPRD-5:2". The record is from RNAcentral. Lineage: Eukaryota; Metazoa; Chordata; Mammalia; Primates; Hominidae.
UAUCUAUCUGCCUAACCAGCCUCUACCUGCCUCCUCUCUCAUUCCAGUGGUGACCCUAAUUGCCAUUAGAGGGAGAGGGUAGAUGACCGCUCAGGCUUCUUCAAGCUGUGAGAGGGCAUUGUUACUGUGGCAGUAAGGGAUCCUCCAGAGGAUGGUCUAAUGGGCCUGAGAGGAAGGGUUCUUUCACACAGGGUUCCAUCUGCAUCAUGAUCUGGAGUUUGAUGGCCUCUAUGCAAGAAGAAACAAAUUUGGCUAAAAGAUGUAACACACAUGGUCCAAAAACCAGACUUGAGAAUACGACACGGAGACAGAAGAAAAACAGAAUCAGAAGCAAAGCUGGAUAAUGAAUGGAAAUAGAAGUGGACAGAAGUGGAGAAAGAUGAGAUAGAUCACCAGAGAAAAGAGCAGAGGAUACAGACUUCUGAGAAAUUUUGUGAAGACUUGUCAAGUUUU